RNAcentral lists this ribosomal RNA (484 nucleotides) under uncultured bacterium. RNAcentral's name for it is "partial 16S ribosomal RNA". It matches the Rfam family "Bacterial small subunit ribosomal RNA", at positions 30 to 507 of the family's 1533-position model. The record is from RNAcentral.
AUUGAACGCUGGCGGCAGGCCUAACACAUGCAAGUCGAGCGGAUGAAGGGAGCUUGCUCCUGGAUUCAGCGGCGGACGGGUGAGUAAUGCCUAGGAAUCUGCCUGGUAGUGGGGGAUAACGUCCGGAAACGGGCGCUAAUACCGCAUACGUCCUGAGGGAGAAAGUGGGGGAUCUUCGGACCUCACGCUAUCAGAUGAGCCUAGGUCGGAUUAGCUAGUUGGUGGGGUAAAGGCCUACCAAGGCGACGAUCCGUAACUGGUCUGAGAGGAUGAUCAGUCACACGGGAACUGAGACACGGUCCAGACUCCUACGGGAGGCAGCAGUGGGGAAUAUUGGACAAUGGGCGAAAGCCUGAUCCAGCCAUGCCGCGUGUGUGAAGAAGGUCUUCGGAUUGUAAAGCACUUUAAGUUGGGAGGAAGGGCAGUAGGUUAAUACCUUGCUGUUUUGACGUUACCAACAGAAUAAGCACCGGCUAACUUCGUG